ACAGAUGGAUAUAUCGAGAUCAUACACACAAAAAAAUAUAUAUAUAUAUAAAAAUAAAAAUCAAAACAAUUAAACUUUGCACAUUUCAAAAAAAUGAUAAGAGGCACAAUUUCAAACCUUAAUCUCUUCUCAAUUCAUAAUAUAAAAAUUUAAAAUAAUAAUUGAAGAAACCUUGAUGUUAUUUGACCAUCUUUACUCUUUUCACAAAGAUUUCUGCAUUAGACAUGCAUCACUUGCAGUCUUAUAUUAAAAAAACAAAAAAUGCAUUCUUUAAGAAAAUAUUUCAUCAAAUGUGCCUCAAUUGAAAAUUUAGGAAAGAAAGAACAGAUUCUAGGUCACAAGAUCAAAUGGACGAGUAGAUUUGGGACCAUGUUAUCACUAGAGAGGAUGGUAUCACCAGUGGCGUCACCAUGCACAUUCUAUUUGGCUUCUGUGCCAAUACCAUUAUUCUUCAUAUUCUCUGUGCAUUUCUUCUGUUCGGGUAUGCAGUAUCUGCAAUCUUGCCCAAUACACUAAUCAAAUGUGUUUAGUAUUUUUAAGAAAAAAAUACAAAGCAGAAUGGUUUGCACAGGAUGCUCACCAGUGAAAUAUCAUCAUCAUACAUGAUAGUGGGGAUGAAGGACUACUUUUUCGGUACCAAACAACAUCCAUUUAUUAUUGUUUUUUCAAACCUACAAUCUGAGUUUUAUCCCAUGAUGUAAAUACAUCUCUGUUUAUGCAUUAUUUACAAUAUGGCUCUGAAAUAACUAUUUCCACCAUCAAUUUGAUAGUUCCUUUCCUCAAUUUUAUGAUAAAUCUUUCUUACUUAAAUUAAUAACUGAUUGAUUCUUUAUCUUUGAAUGAUCUUUGCCAUAAAUUUUUCCAUCAAUUUUGUUUUUUUCUAGAUUCGAAAACAAAAAUACACAAAAACACUCUAAUCCCUGUGUUCGGCCUUUGUCAUAACUCUGAAAUUAUGACUUAAGUCUCAAAGUCGAGCAUGACAUGUAUUAAGCUAAACAGUUGAAUAAAAUUUUAGUAGUAGUUCUCAAAAAUUGUGCUGUGUUUGCUUUAUUUUUAUAUUAAAUGCAAUUAUAAAAAUUGAUAUU
RNAcentral lists this long non-coding RNA (1085 nucleotides) under Androctonus crassicauda. Lineage: Eukaryota; Metazoa; Arthropoda; Arachnida; Scorpiones; Buthidae. The record is from RNAcentral.